UCAACUUGGUCGCAUGAUCGAGUUGGGAAAAGCGGAGCAAUCUGCUGCUUACAGAUGGGCCUGCGGCGCAUUAGCUAGUUGGUGGGGUAACGGCUCACCAAGGCGACGAUGCGUAGCCGACCUGAGAGGGUGAACGGCCACACUGGGACUGAGACACGGCCCAGACUCCUACGGGAGGCAGCAGUAGGGAAUCUUCCGCAAUGGACGCAAGUCUGACGGAGCAACGCCGCGUGAGUGAUGAAGGUUUUCGGAUCGUAAAGCUCUGUUGCCAGGGAAGAACGCUUGGGAGAGUAACUGCUCUUAAGGUGACGGUACCUGAGAAGAAAGCCCCGGCUAACUACGUGCCAGCAGCCGCGGUAAUACGUAGGGGGCAAGCGUUGUCCGGAAUUAUUGGGCGUAAAGCGCGCGCAGGCGGCUUUGUAAGUCUGGUGUUUAAACCUAGGGCUCAACCCUGGGUCGCAUUGGAAACUGCAAGGCUUGAGUGCAGAAGAGGAGAGUGGAAUUCCACGUGUAGCGGUGAAAUGCGUAGAGAUGUGGAGGAACACCAGUGGCGAAGGCGACUCUCUGGGCUGUAACUGACGCU
This 583-nucleotide ribosomal RNA is filed under the name Paenibacillus terrigena. Its description in RNAcentral is "bacterial SSU rRNA". It matches the Rfam family "Bacterial small subunit ribosomal RNA", at positions 173 to 747 of the family's 1533-position model. Lineage: Bacteria; Bacillati; Bacillota; Bacilli; Caryophanales; Paenibacillaceae. The record is from RNAcentral.